This 2691-nucleotide ribosomal RNA is filed under the name Triticum aestivum (bread wheat). RNAcentral describes it as "partial small subunit ribosomal RNA". The record is from RNAcentral. Lineage: Eukaryota; Viridiplantae; Streptophyta; Magnoliopsida; Poales; Poaceae.
AUGCCUCGCUCCCUCGCCGGCGACCUCACCGACCCGGAGAUGGCGCAGCCCUACAUGAAGAAGGACGACGACGACUCCGACAUCGAGUACUCGCCAUUUUUCGGGAUUGAGAAGGGGGCUGUUCUGCAGGAGGCACGUGCUUUCCAUGACCCCCAGCUUGAUGCCAGACGAUGCUCGCAAGUUAUCACCAAGCUAUUAUAUUUAAUUAAUCAAGGAGAGUCAUUUACAAAGGUUGAGGCCACAGAAGUUUUCUUUGCAGUUACGAAGCUAUUCCAGUCCAAUGAUGCUGGUCUCAGGAGGCUGGUGUAUUUGAUGAUAAAAGAGCUUUCUCCAUCAUCAGACGAGGUUUUCAUAGUCACAAGCUCAUUGAUGAAAGAUAUGAACAGUAAGACAGAUAUGUACCGUGCCAAUGCAAUUAGAGUUCUCUGUAGAAUAAUUGACGGCAACCUCCUUACUCAAAUCGAGAGAUACUUGAAGCAAGCUAUUGUAGACAAAAAUCCUGUGGUUGCUAGUGCUGCUCUUGUUAGUGGUAUCCACCUGCUUCAGGCAAAUCCAGAAAUUGUGAAAAGAUGGAGCAACGAAGUGCAGGAAGCUGUGCAAUCAAGAGCUGCACUUGUGCAAUUUCAUGGCCUUGCUCUUCUUCACCAGACCAGACAGAAUGACCGUUUGGCUAUUAGCAAGCUCGUCUCUAGUUUGACUAGGGGAUCAGUGCGCUCACCCCUUGCACAAUGUCUUCUGAUUCGUUACACGAGCCAGGUAAUACGUGAGUCAAGCAACACCCAAAGUGGUGAUCGCCCAUUUUUUGAUUAUCUGGAAUCCUGUCUCAGACAUAAAGCAGAAAUGGUGAUUUUAGAGGCUGCGAGGAAAAUAACAGAGAUGGAUGUGACAAGUCGUGAAUUAGCACCAGCGAUUACUGUGUUACAGUUAUUUUUGAGUUCAUCCAAACCUGUGCUUCGAUUUGCAGCUGUCCGAACACUCAAUAAGGUUGCUAUAACACGCCCUUUGGCAGUGACAAACUGCAAUGUUGACUUGGAGAGUCUGAUGUCAGACCAGAACAGGAGUAUAGCGACCCUGGCAAUCACCACACUUCUUAAAACUGGCAAUGAAUCAAGUGUGGAUCGCCUCAUGAAACAAAUUACCAGUUUCAUGUCUGACAUAUCAGAUGAAUUCAAGAUAGUUGUCAUUGAAGCUAUACGAUCUCUUUGCCUGAAGUUCCCACUGAAGUAUCGUUCGAUGAUGAUUUUCUUAAGUAACAGUUUGAGAGAAGAAGGGGGCUUUGAGUAUAAAAAGGCCAUAGUUGAUUCUAUAGUUACCCUGAUCGGCGUGAUACCAGACGCGAAAGAAAUUGGCCUUCUGCAUCUUUGCGAAUUCAUUGAAGACUGUGAAUUCACAUAUCUUUCUAGUCAGAUAUUGCACUUUUUGGGAAAUGAAGGGCCAAGAACAUCAGAUCCAAGCAGAUACAUACGGUACAUCUACAACCGUGUGAUAUUGGAAAAUCCCACUGUUCGUGCUAGUGCUGUCAGUACAUUGGCAAAGUUUGGUGCCUUAGUCGAUGAAUUGAAGCCUCGGAUAUUUGUUCUCCUGCGCCGGUGCCUGUUUGACACUGAUGAUGAGGUCCGCGACCGUGCUACACUUUACCUCCAAACUCUGAAUGGUGAAGUUGCUGUAGGUAACUCUGAGAAGGACGUGAAGGAAUUUCUAUUUGGAUCCUUUGAUGUGCCUCUUGCCAACUUGGAAGCAAGUCUAAGAACCUAUGAACCAUCUGAGGAGCCCUUCGAUAUUUCCUUGGUGUCAAGAGAAGCCAGAUCACAGCCACUUCACGAUAAAAAGGCCCCUGGAAAGAAGCCACCUGCUGGUGCUCCCGCCCCUGCGCCUGUUUCGGCUGUUGAUGCUUAUCAGAAGAUGCUUUCAUCUAUCGCUGAGUUCUCUGGGUUUGGAAGGCUCUUCAAGUCCUCAGAACCUGUGGAGCUGACAGAGGCAGAGACUGAAUAUGCAGUUAAUGUGGUUAAGCAUAUCUAUGAAAACCAUGUUGUAUUGCAGUACAACUGUACAAACACCAUACCUGAACAACUGCUAGAAGAUGUUACAGUAUAUGUUGAUGCCACGGAUGCUGAAGAGUUUUCAGAAGUUUGUUCAAAGCCUCUUAAAAGCUUGCCUUAUGAUUCACCUGGGCAAAUUUUUGUUGCUUUUGAAAAGCCAGAACAUGUUCCUGCAAUCGGGAAAUUUUCAAAUGUAUUGAAGUUCACUGUUAAAGAGGUUGACACAUCUUCAGGGGAAGCUGAUGAAGAUGGUGUGGAGGAUGAAUACCAGCUAGAAGACCUUGAAAUUGUUUCAGCUGAUUAUAUGCUGAGGGUCGCAGUUUCUAACUUUAGGAAUGCCUGGGAGAAUAUGGACCCAGAAAGUGAGCGUGUGGAUGAGUAUGGACUCGGGGCUAGAGAGAGCUUGGCUGAGGCUGUGAGUGCUGUCACUAGUAUCCUUGGCAUGCAACCGUGUGAGGGCACUGAGGUUGUACCAAGCAAUGCAAGAUCGCAUGUUUGCCUGCUUUCUGGAGUGUAUAUAGGGGGCGUCAAGGUUCUUGUCAGGUUAUCAUUCGGACUAAGCGGGCCCAAGGAAGUGGCGAUGAAGCUGGCGGUAAGGUCAGAUGACCCCGAAGUCAGCGACAAGAUCCAUGAGAUUGUUGCCAGUGGGUAA